AGGAAAAGAAACCAACCGGGAUUGCCUUAGUAACGGCGAGUGAAGCGGCAAAAGCUCAAAUUUGAAAUCUGGUACCUUCGGUGCCCGAGUUGUAAUUUGUAGAAGGUAACUUUGGGGCUGGUCCUUGUCUAUGUUCCUUGGAACAGGACGUCAUAGAGGGUGAGAAUCCCGUGUGGCGAGGAUCCCAGUUCUUUGUAAAGUGCUUUCGAAGAGUCGAGUUGUUUGGGAAUGCAGCUCUAAGUGGGUGGUAAAUUCCAUCUAAAGCUAAAUAUUGGCGAGAGACCGAUAGCGAACAAGUACAGUGAUGGAAAGAUGAAAAGAACUUUGAAAAGAGAGUGAAAAAGUACGUGAAAUUGUUGAAAGGGAAGGGCAUUUGAUCAGACAUGGUGUUUUGCGCCCUCUGCUCCUUGUGGGUGGGGGAAUCUCGCAGCUCACUGGGCCAGCAUCGGUUUUGGCGGCAGGAUAAAUCUUCAGGAAUGUAGCUUGCCUCGGUAAGUGUUAUAUCCUGGAGGAAUACUGCCAGCUGGGACUGAGGACUGCGACUUUACGUCAAGGAUGCUGGCAUAAUGGUUAUAUGCCG
This 580-nucleotide ribosomal RNA is filed under the name Torulaspora delbrueckii. RNAcentral describes it as "eukaryotic LSU rRNA". It matches the Rfam family "Eukaryotic large subunit ribosomal RNA", at positions 54 to 647 of the family's 3401-position model. RNAcentral also lists the same sequence under 1 other name. Lineage: Eukaryota; Fungi; Ascomycota; Saccharomycetes; Saccharomycetales; Saccharomycetaceae. The record is from RNAcentral.